GAUGAACGCUAGCUACAGGCUUAACACAUGCAAGUCGCAGGGUAACAUGAGGAAAGCUUGCUUUCCUUGAUGACGACUGGCGCACGGGUGAGUAACGCGUAUCCAACCUUCCCAUAACUACGGGAUAACCCGUUGAAAGACGGCCUAAUACCGUAUGAUAUCGUUUGCUGACAUCAAAUAACGAUUAAAGGUUUAGCGGUUAUGGAUGGGGAUGCGUCUGAUUAGCUUGUUGGCGGGGUAACGGCCCACCAAGGCGACGAUCAGUAGGGGUUCUGAGAGGAAGGUCCCCCAAAUUGGAACGGGGACACGGUCCAAACUCCUGCGGGAGGAAGCAGGGGGGAAUAUGGGGAAAGGGGCGAGAGCCUGAACCAGCAAAGUAGCGUGAAGGACGCCGGCCUUAUGGGUUUGAAACUGUUUUUAGGGGGGGAUAAAGGGGGGGACGUGCCAUGCAUUGCGGGUACCAAAUAAAUAAGGACCGGCUAAUUCCGG
Molecule: ribosomal RNA, 489 nt
Filed under: uncultured bacterium
Lineage: Bacteria
Description: partial 16S ribosomal RNA
Rfam family: Bacterial small subunit ribosomal RNA
Source: RNAcentral